Molecule: long non-coding RNA, 202 nt
Filed under: Mytilus galloprovincialis (Mediterranean mussel)
Lineage: Eukaryota; Metazoa; Mollusca; Bivalvia; Mytilida; Mytilidae
Source: RNAcentral
CCCCCUUUAUGAAAAGUUCUGGAUCCGCCACUGUGCGGGAGUUUCUCGCUGCAUUGAAGACCUAUAGGUGACCUUCUGCUGUUGUCUGUUCCAUGGUCGGGUUGUUGUCUCUUUGACACAUUCCCUAUUUCUAUUCUCAAUUUUAUCUAUUACAAGACCUUCCUAUAGAAUUUAUAGUUAACUUGUUCUCGUUCUGAACAUG